RNAcentral lists this ribosomal RNA (468 nucleotides) under uncultured bacterium. RNAcentral describes it as "partial 16S ribosomal RNA". It matches the Rfam family "Bacterial small subunit ribosomal RNA", at positions 28 to 507 of the family's 1533-position model. The record is from RNAcentral.
GACGAACGCUGGCGGCGUGCUUAACACAUGCAAGUCGAACGGAAAGGCCCUGCUUUUGUGGGGUGCUCGAGUGGCGAACGGGUGAGUAACACGUGAGUAACCUGCCCUUGACUUUGGGAUAACUUCAGGAAACUGGGGCUAAUACCGGAUAGGAGCUCCUGCUGCAUGGUGGGGGUUGGAAAGUUUCGGCGGUUGGGGAUGGACUCGCGGCUUAUCAGCUUGUUGGUGGGGUAGUGGCUUACCAAGGCUUUGACGGGUAGCCGGCCUGAGAGGGUGACCGGGCACAUUGGGACUGAGAUACGGCCCAGACUCCUACGGGAGGCAGCAGUGGGGAAUAUUGCACAAUGGGCGGAAGCCUGAUGCAGCAACGCCGCGUGCGGGAUGACGGCCUUCGGGUUGUAAACCGCUUCCGCCUGUGACGAAGCGUGAGUGGCGGUAAUGGGUAAAGAAGCACCGGCUAACUACGUG